This 91-nucleotide transfer RNA is filed under the name Clostridia bacterium. Its description in RNAcentral is "tRNA-Ser". It matches the Rfam family "tRNA". From Rfam's summary of the family: Transfer RNA (tRNA) molecules are approximately 80 nucleotides in length. Their secondary structure includes four short double-helical elements and three loops (D, anti-codon, and T loops). Further hydrogen bonds mediate the characteristic L-shaped molecular structure. tRNAs have two regions of fundamental functional importance: the anti-codon, which is responsible for specific mRNA codon recognition, and the 3' end, to which the tRNAs corresponding amino acid is attached (by aminoacyl-tRNA synthetases). tRNAs cope with the degeneracy of the genetic code in two manners: having more than one tRNA (with a specific anti-codon) for a particular amino acid; and 'wobble' base-pairing, i.e. permitting non-standard base-pairing at the 3rd anti-codon position. Lineage: Bacteria; Bacillati; Bacillota; Clostridia. The record is from RNAcentral.
GGAGUGGUAUCGAAGUGGUCAUAACGAGCUACACUGGAACUGUAGUAGUCGGGAAACCGGCCCGUGGGUUCGAAUCCCACUCACUCCGCCA